UUCGAAGGGUGCAAACGUUGCUCGGAAUUAUUGGGCGUAAAGCGCACGUAGGCGGCUUAGCAAGUCGGAUGUGAAAUCCCUCGGCUCAACCAAGGAAGUGCAUCCGAAACUGCUGAGCUUGAGUACGAAAGAGGAUCGCGGAAUUCCCGGUGUAGAGGUGAAAUUCGUAGAUAUCGGGAGGAACACCAGUGGCGAAGGCGGCGAUCUGGGUCGAUACUGACGCUGAGGUGCGAAAGCUAGGGGAGCGAACGGG
Molecule: ribosomal RNA, 253 nt
Filed under: uncultured bacterium
Lineage: Bacteria
Description: partial 16S ribosomal RNA
Rfam family: Bacterial small subunit ribosomal RNA
Source: RNAcentral